RNAcentral lists this ribosomal RNA (497 nucleotides) under uncultured bacterium. RNAcentral's name for it is "partial 16S ribosomal RNA". It matches the Rfam family "Bacterial small subunit ribosomal RNA", at positions 28 to 507 of the family's 1533-position model. The record is from RNAcentral.
GAUGAACGCUGGCGGCGUGCCUAAUACAUGCAAGUCGAGCGAACGGACGAGAAGCUUGCUCCUCUGAUGUUAGCGGCGGACGGGUGAGUAACACGUGGAUAACCUACCUAUAAGACUGGGAUAACUUCGGGAAACCGGAGCUAAUACCGGAUAAUAUUUUGAACCGCAUGGUUCAAAAGUGAAAGACGGUUUUGCUGUCACUUAUAGAUGGAUCCGCGCUGCAUUAGCUAGUUGGUAAGGUAACGGCUUACCAAGGCAACGAUGCAUAGCCGACCUGAGAGGGUGAUCGGCCACACUGGAACUGAGACACGGUCCAGACUCCUACGGGAGGCAGCAGUAGGGAAUCUUCCGCAAUGGGCGAAAGCCUGACGGAGCAACGCCGCGUGAGUGAUGAAGGUCUUCGGAUCGUAAAACUCUGUUAUUGGGGAAGAACAUAUGUGUAAGUAACUAUGCACGUCUUGACGGUACCUAAUCAGAAAGCCACGGCUAACUACGUG